RNAcentral lists this ribosomal RNA (468 nucleotides) under uncultured bacterium. Its description in RNAcentral is "partial 16S ribosomal RNA". It matches the Rfam family "Bacterial small subunit ribosomal RNA", at positions 28 to 507 of the family's 1533-position model. The record is from RNAcentral.
GAUGAACGCUGGCGGCGUGCUUAACACAUGCAAGUCGAACGGUGAAGGCGGAGCUUGCUCUGCUGGAUCAGUGGCGAACGGGUGAGUAACACGUGAGCAAUCUGCCCCUGACUCUGGGAUAAGCGCUGGCAACGGCGUCUAAUACUGGAUACGAGCUGCGAAGGCAUCUUCAGCAGCUGGAAAGAACUUCGGUCAGGGAUGAGCUCGCGGCCUAUCAGCUUGUUGGUGAGGUAACGGCUCACCAAGGCGUCGACGGGUAGCCGGCCUGAGAGGGUGACCGGCCACACUGGGACUGAGACACGGCCCAGACUCCUACGGGAGGCAGCAGUGGGGAAUAGUGCACAAUGGGCGAAAGCCUGAUGCAGCAACGCCGCGUGGGGGACGACGGCCUUCGGGUUGUAAACCUCUUUUAGCAGGGAAGAAGCGAAAGUGACGGUACCUGCAGAAAAAGCGCCGGCUAACUACGUG